Long non-coding RNA from Passer domesticus (house sparrow), 6502 nucleotides. RefSeq lists it as uncharacterized. The record is from RefSeq and is a predicted model, not a curated record. Lineage: Eukaryota; Metazoa; Chordata; Aves; Passeriformes; Passeridae. The transcript has 2 exons.
CCCGUAAAGAUGGCUGGGCAUUGGGAGUUAAUGUGCCUGUUUCACACACCUGUGCGGGGAGACAAUGGAGCCGUACAGGGGCAAUGGCCAUAAACUGAAACACAGGAAGUUUCACCUCAACAAGAGGGAGAAGUUCUUUACGUUGAGGGUGUCAGAGCACUGGGACAGGGUGCCCACGGAGGUCUUGGAGUCUCCCUCUCCGGAGACAUUCCAAACCCUCCAGGACAUGUUCCUGUGUCACCUGCUCCGGGUGACCCUGCUUUGGCAGGGAGGUUGGACAAGGUGAUCUCCAGAUGUCCCUUCCAACCCUAAAAAUUCUGACGUUCUGUGAAACCAGUCCACCCUAUCAAAGUUUUGUCCCGAAACGUGUGCCAGCUGAGUGGAUCUUCCCUAUGGUCUCCUCGGCAGCUGUUUGUGUACCAUUGCUUUCUCCACAGAAAAUUACUGGCUAUUCCAAAGGAUUUAAAGAGCCUUCAGGUAAACACCUCUGUGAGUUUGUCUGGGAGACAUCCACGUGUGUGACAUGUUCAUCCUCCCCCUCCUGUCCCCAGAUCACUCCAUGCAAGUGGCAGCAUCAGUCCAGGCUACCAGGAGGGAUCAGGCGUCUCAAGCUCAUGGAGUCCCUCCUGGUUCACAAGCUCUCCUUUUCUCACAAAUUCACUGUAGCAAUACUCAGCCUUUAAUGCAGCAGUCAAAGCCACCAAGGUGACACAGCACAGGUGCCAUGUCUCCGUACAGGGGAUGUGGUUUUAGCCAGGACAGCCAGCUCGAUGCCACACCAUAUGAUGUUGGUCCCAGCCCCCUCUGUCACCUAAACAUCUGAUUUAUUCCUCCCUGAAGUUUCAGAUUCUCACGAUCUUCAGGUGAACAGCUCUAACCAUACCUGACCUGCUUCAUCUCUACCUUUAAGCAGACUGAAACACGCUCAAGAUAUUUAAAAAGAGUAACAAUUUUAGUACAUGAAGUGGCUUUGCCACAGAGCAGAAAAGCAAAUACCAAAAGUCCACAGAACAGACCAACCCUGGAAGAGCAGAGACCUUCCUCCUUGCUCACUUCCAAGACUUGGGGCAGGGGGGCUGGGUGGAAGCUCAUGGGGAGAACAAGGGGCACUUACAGACAGCUGCAGACAACACUUGUCCUCUCAGUUUUGCUCUGUGGGAAAACCAUGAACCUCUGUGCUGGAAAAAAAAAAAAAUCAUUGCUUCUAGAACUGGUGCAAAGUCACCUCCUUUCCUUUGUGGUUAAGGUUGGUGACUCAGAUGCAAAAAAGAGCAAUACUUGAUUGAGAAAACAGAAAUUUCAAAAAAUUGUAUUGAUACUGGAUGGUCUUUUUGAACAUUUCUGCUCUUGAGGUCUGUUACAUGACUGUUUAUGUCUUGCAGGAGAGUGGUUUCACAAAGCCAAAAGGUCCCUUUACCUCAGAAAAAUCAAUUUUGACGACUCUGAGAGAAAUCUGAGCUCCAAAAGGGGAGAAAGAAAAAAGGAGGGAAAAGCAUUCUGUGGAAAGGACAAGAUGAGAAAUGAAAGUGCUGAAACAUAAAUUAGUAUAUUCUCAUGGGUUAUGCAAACCAUCUGGCUUUAAAAGCUAGUAGUGGGAACAAGGAAAAAGGUCAUCAGAAUUAGCAGAGAUCUGCAAAACAACUGAAGGUAGAAGUGCAUGUUUCAUCCAAGGAUCACGGAGCUAUUUGUCAGUUUAUCCAAGUAUAAAAGAAGAGCCUGAACAAAAGGUCAGUUCCAGCUAUGCUAAACACACUCUACCUGCACAGACAAACAAGCCCUUAGAGAUAAAAAACAACAUUAAAAUUACCUUCUUCAUUUUCUUUCUUCCUCUCAUCCCCCUGUCCCCUCCACUCCCCCCUCCCCAAAUCAAAACUUCUGAGCACAUUAAUUGCAGAUCAUUUGUCCUGCUAAUGGGCCCAAAGUCCACAGGGAACAGUUUCAGGCAGUUUAUCUCAGAUUCAGUAACCUAGAUAUCUUGGCAGAGCUUUAAGAUGUACUGGGGGGUUAAAGGUGAAAGAAGAGGGAAAGACAGAGAGGCUUGUGGUGUAUCUGUGCCCAGAAAAGACAGAAUUUAUACUUUUUUAUUAUUUCCAUUGCUUGAGAGGAUGAAGGUAAAAUAUUCAAAGCCUGCAGAUGUAUCUACAGACACCGAGGGAGGUUUUGAAGGCUCUGAUGCACGUGUAACAUUCACCACACCUUUCUGAGGGCAGCUUGAGCAGCAGUGAUCCAUCUGCACCUUGUGUGUCAUUUGAGGACUUCUUUCACAAGACUGUGAAAAAUGAGGCCACAAAACCCAUCUCUAGAGCCACAUCUUGGGGUGCCAUGGUUACAAGAGGAGCAGCACCAAUUGGCACUUUGCAGGUUGCUGGUGUGAGCAGUCAUAAACUCUGCUCAGGCAGCUGACAUGCACUGGGCACUCUUCAGGGUGAUCUUGCAGAGACACUCAAACAGUGACUGCAGAACUGUUCACACAUUCAUAUCCUGGCAUAUUGUAGUUACAUUUAUUCACUAUUGAUAAUGGACAGCUUAAGGUCAUAAGAUAUAUUAUAUUCAAAUUAUGUGAGGGGGGUAUUUCAACUGUAUUGCAGAUGCUGUAAUAGUCCUUGGUAUUAAAAACUAUCAAGAAAGUUUAAUAGAAAUUUUGUACUAUCCACUUAACCAGCAGCUUCUUUUACUCAUGUAUGUUGAAAAAAUACAGGUGUGGUUAUAUAGCUUUGUGUAUUUGAUCCUUUCAGUAUGAGGAAAUGUAUAACUUACUCCAUGUAAACAUUUUUUAAAAUAUAGAAUUUAAAUAGUUAAUAUUUUAAAGCAAUUAAGAAGGAAAGACUUUACUCUGCAAUAGUUAUAAAAAAUAUGUCUAAAAAGACAUCCAGUGCCUGAGACAAAGAGAGUGUUUAAAGCAUGAGAAGCUCUACAGAAGAAGCCUGGAUUACUGAGAUCUAAAGUCACACCACUCUCUCCACAGCAGUACAAACACUCAAAUUUCAUUUUGGUGUUUGUAUUCUGAAUUCAGGGACAAAGUUUUAGAUCAAAGGAAUAGAAAGUUCCUAAAGGGAAAAGUCUUUAACUGGUGUAAAUGUAUAGUCCAAGGUCAUAUCAGCAGUGAUUAUGGUCUUUUAAAAUUGUUGAAUAAUUCAUAGUGUAACUAAAAGUAUUUGAGAGGAAUUUGGCAUUUGAUACAGAAAUUGCCGAUUUUCAGUAUUUUUUAUUUAAUGUCUAUAAAAUUAGAAGAGCCUUAGAAUUUUUUAUGAAUUCAUACUGAAUAGAGUUUAGCAUGAAAAUAAAUAUUUGCAGGGUCUAGAAGAUAUCAGACUGCUUGAUGGAAGAUGGUGGUAUGACUAACUUUAUGAAUAUCACAGCAAUUCUGUUAUAUCUAAGAAUGGUGUUGUCUGGCUGUUCUCAGCUAUUUUAAAGCUUUUUUCCUUGUUUCCAAAAUUUAAUUAGAAAAUGCCUUUGCUCUGGUGCACACUAAAAGUUUUACUCUAGAUAUUUCAGCAUUCACUGAAGAACAAGAGUUCAAUACAGAGCCAGAAGGAAAAAUCCUAGAGAACCGUGCAAGUGCAUGACUGGUGAAGUUUAAAAAGGGAAAAAAAAAAAGUUGGUUUUAGUUAUGACUGCUAAGAUGUGAGCCUCUCUUUUAUUCCCUGUGCUGUAACUGAAUGAUAAUGGUUUUUAUGUGUUUCUGGAAAGGAGCCUAAAAUGGAACGUUCAAGGCCUAAGAGAUGAAAUGCAGCUAGAGAAAAUUACCAGUGAGAAUAGCAGGAGAUGUGACUUACAUUAACUGAAGACCUAAACAUCUUUGUAUAUGAGUGCUCAGGGCUGACUUCCAAGGCUGUAAGAAGCCUCGGUAACAGACCAGCCACUUCAGUGUGCAUGUGUGAGGAAAAUUUCCAUAAUCUCUCCUGCUGGUUUGCUAGGGAUGCUGGAGAGAGCAGCUUCUGCUAAUGUAGGCAUUUGCAGGUCUGGAUUGAACCCAAAUUCAUUUAAAACUCAUCUAAAAUUCUAGCUGACUUGUUCAAAUACCACUGAUGGUGAUACCUACAGGAAACAGGUUGCUGAAGCUGCAUUUGGUGUGAAGCUGUUGGAAGAGAAAGCAAAGGUGAAGCAAGUAACAAGGUGUGGACGUCCAGAACCUGUGAAGAUCAGACCCCUGGUGAUGAAUCCAACUCUGAGGCCAUUCUGACAUCUUUAUAUCUGGUGUCAAGCUAUAAAAGGGAAUUUGGGCUUCCCGGGAGAGGGAUGGCCCCUGUGAGAACAAGCACGGUGACUGAGGUGCUCUGGAGCUGGUCCCUUUUCACUGAGAAGGGCUGCAUGUAUUUCCUGCUAAUACCCACUGUCACCUCAGUCCAGCACAGGCUGAACUGGGACUUACCUGUUUUGUAGUCUCUGGAGACAGAUUUUAAGACAAAACCACAUGAAUUUCUGCUGAUUUUCAUGGGCAUUUAGAGGCCUCAGCACAGCUUAAAAACUUGCUGUCUGAGCACACCAUGAUGGGAUGUCCAAGUGAAAGGAUUAGACAAUUGUAAUGUUUUUUGAUAAUAGGUUCUUAUUCUUCAAAACCGUCUUGAAAGCCCUUAGGUAUGCAAUGAAUAAUUAGAUUUGGUUACAAUUGAUCAAAAUUUAUUUGAAAUGUCAAUAGGGAGCCAAUUUUUAAAAUUAAUUAGGUUCUUUAAAUGGGAGGGAGUUCAAAAUCAGUUUUAAAAUUCUGUUUCCAUCCAGCUUUGUUAAUCUGUAAGACUUGAUACUUGGUGAAUGGAUUCUACAAGUAACUAAUCCCCUGGGAUACCCACUCCUCUUGUACUCAAUUAAAGGAUGAAUGAGAUUACUGCACUUUGUCAUUCUGAAAUAAUUGGCCCAUAGUUGAUUGAAGCUUCUGGGGAGGCUGCUCUGGUUAUGUGUCCCCCACUUGCUGUUCCUGACUCAGAUCCUGGAGCCUGGCUCCAGUGCUGAGCACCCCCAGCUGGAGAUGGGUGCCUCGAGGCAACAAGUGUUAUAAUCUGACAAACAUGGAAAAAAUCCAUGGAAAUUUUUUACCUAAGUGUCACUGUGCAUUUUUAAGAUGGUGAUAAGUAAACCUCCAGGGAGCUGGAGAGAGGCAUGAAUCACUGUGAAAUUCUGGGACUGCAGCAGUGCAAAGGUAAUGUCACUGCAGGAGCUGGGUGUGCACAGCAGGCAGCAGGCUCAGCGUGGAGCUGUGUGCUGAGCCAUGAGGGGAUAAAAGCACUGACCAUUUGCUGUGUCAUCAACAGCAAGGGGUUUGCAUGAUCCACAGAGCAGGUACAGGGACAGUUUGUGUAGAAUGAGUAACUUCUAAUGUGAUUGAAGAUAUGUCACUUGACACAUAAUUACAGGAGAUUUAAGCUGUGCACAUCUUCAUUUUCAUAUCACUUUUGAGUGUCUGACUUUUCAUCUCAAAUAACACUCUUAAACCACAUCUUUAUGUGUUUCAAAGAAUCAUAGACUCUUUAAGGUUGGAAAAGACCUCCAAGAUCAUUGAAUCCAACUGUUAACCCAGCAACCCUCUGUUUGCCAAAAAACCAUAUCCCCACGUGACACAUCCACACAUCUUUUGAACACUUUCAGGGGUGGUGAUUUCAUCCCUUCCCUGGGCAGCCUAUGCUAAUGUGUAACCACCCUUUCAGUGAAGAAAUUGAUCCUAAUAUCCAAUCUAAACUUCACCUGGCACACCUUGAGGCCAUUCCUCUCAUCCUGAAAACCUACCAGGGAGGAUCUGAUUUCACAACGCACAAAGUGCACAUUCUUGCAUUUUUCAGCCCCUGGCUGGGCUGGUGAGAGGAAGUGUGGGACAGCAAACUGUCACAAAGCCACCCGUGCUCCCCUCCGUUAUUUUCUGUCUCACUUUGGCUGCCUGUUACUGGAGACAAUCUGCCGUGGGGGUAAGCUCAUCCUCGAUGUUCUAUCCAGGAAACAUUGUCCUGCUUACUGUAAAACACAGAAGCAAACCUGGUGGUUGCCCAGAGGUUAGAAUAUUUGCUAUAGCUGCUGUGUGUCUAUAAGCUUGAGUAUCCUUGGGGAUAUUUUCUUCCUUGUACACUGUAAAGGAAAUAUAGAAUUGACCAGUAUGUUUGAUAGCAACUCAGAAUGGAGCAGGAGCAACUGAGCUCAGAUCCUUUUCACUGCAGUUUUACAACGUUUCUUGACAUGGGUUAUUCUGAAUAGCUAAAAAGGAAUAAAAAAUAAAGUAAGCACAUAAUUUCCAGUUUAAAAUAUUAGAAAGUCUUGCUGAAAGCAUUCUGAUUUCUCAGAGUACAAGACUGCUUGGGGCUAUGAUGCAUUUCUUUUAAAGGAAGGUCACUUUUUGAGGGUAUGCUGUGAUCAGGAGAAAAAAAAAGGGAAAGUUCAUGGUAAUGACAGCUGGGGAGAGAAACAUUGUUUAGACUACACUGAAAUUACAUUAUGUGUCUCUGCAAGUACAAGAUUAUGUUGACAACAAUCAUGGGUUUUGGAGAAAGUAUUAAAAGUUGAAUAAUAGAAAAGACAA